Molecule: RNA transcript, 5731 nt
Organism: Chionomys nivalis (European snow vole)
Lineage: Eukaryota; Metazoa; Chordata; Mammalia; Rodentia; Cricetidae
Exons: 27
Source: RefSeq, a predicted model, not a curated record
AAAAUCUCUCUUUUCAUCAGCCUGUUCUGUUAUUGGGACCUUCACGUUGUUUAUACUGUUUUGAUUUAUUUGCAUGCUGAGAGAUUCAUGAGAAGUAUAGUUGACUUGAGAUUCACAAGACGUAUAGUUAGCUCAUAGAUACAAUUCCAACAACCAUCACGCAAUUCACUUCCAUGCAGGCCUCCAAACCAGUCAGCAGGGGGAAAAAUGGGAAGCAUGUUCAUGAGGAGCAUAAAUAAUGCAGCAGACACCUGAAGCUUUCAAGUGUAACAGGGGUGAAGGCAAGCACUGCUCAGAGCAACCAAUUCUCAUCUAACAAAAAAUGAUUCAGAGAUAAGUUGCAUAUAACACAGAGACAUGAUAAAAGAAAAUCCUUAGGUUUUCACAAAGAUCCAGAGAAAGUGUAAGGUCACCAGCACUGUACAUGUGAAGGGGAUUCGAAUGGAUAACAUCUCCUGCUCUAGAAAUGAUACUGUCAGGCCCCAUCUUUCUUAAAGCAGAUACAGUGUGCUAGCAGAUGUGGAAUAGAAGAUGUCAGGACAAAUGUGUAUGAGAGAUAGGCGCCAUGACCUUCCCAUGUUACUCUCCAUCUGCCACUAGUGUAUCAAAGGGGAAACUAUUGUCUCCACUUAGGUUAUUGUCUAAAGGACACAGACUGGCAGCUGUAUUCGAAGCAAUCAGAAAGGAAAGGUGUCAUUGUAAGACAAGCCAAAAUAGAGGAAGGAAGAAACAGGAUAGAAUCCUGUAGGUCUUCUUAUUCUUCAUACAGAAAAGGACAGAAUCCUGAAUGUCUCCUCUUCUUCAGGCAGAAGUGGAUAGAAUCCUGAAGGUCUUUUAUUACAGGAUAGAAUCCUGAAGGCUGUCUCUUCUUCAGGAAGAAAUGGGGCUGUUUAACAAGAACGGAAGGGCUUCUGAUCAAAUCAGAGCAGGGCAUCUAUCGGAAGAACCUUUGUGCCAACCAUGUCAAUACAUACCUCCUAGACACUGUUUGCAGCACUGUGACCGGGGAUGCCGUCUUGGAGCACUCGUCAACACACCUUUCUCCGGGGACCGUUUAACAAGAAUGGAAGAGCUUCUGAUCAAAUCAGAGCAGGGCAUCUAUCGGGCUGAACCUUUGUGCCAACCAUGUCAAUACAUACCUCCUAGACACUGUUUGCGGCACUGUGACCGGGGAUGCCGUCUUGGAGCACUCGUCAACACACCUUUCUCCGGGGGCCGUUUAACAAGAACGGAAGGGCUUCUGAUCAAAUCAGAGCAGGGCAUCUAUCGGGCUGAACCUUUGUGCCAACCAUGUCAAUACAUACCUCCUAGACACUGUUUGCGGCACUGUGACCGGGGAUGCCGUCUUGGAGCACUCAUCAACACACCUUUCUUCGGGGGCCGUUUAACAAGAACGGAAGGGCUUCUGAUCAAAUCAGAGCAGGGCAUCUAUCGGGCUGAACCUUUGUGCCAACCAUGUCAAUACAUACCUCCUAGACACUGUUUGCGGCACUGUGACCGGGGAUGCCGUCUUGGAGCACUCGUCAACACACCUUUCUCCGGGGGCCGUUUAACAAGAACGGAAGGGCUUCUGAUCAAAUCAGAGCAGGGCAUCUAUCGGGCUGAACCUUUGUGCCAACCAUGUCAAUACAUACCUCCUAGACACUGUUUGCGGCACUGUGACCGGGGAUGCCGUCUAGGAGCACUCGUCAACACACCUUUCUCCGGGGACCGUUUAACAAGAACGGAAGGGCUUCUGAUCAAAUCAGAGCAGGGCAUCUAUCGGGCUGAACCUUUGUGCCAACCAUGUCAAUACAUACCUCCUAGACACUGUUUGCGGCACUGUGACCGGGGAUGCCGUCUUGGAGCACUCAUCAACACACCUUUCUUCGGGGACCGUUUAACAAGAACGGAAGGGCUUCUGAUCAAAUCAGAGCAGGGCAUCUAUCGGGCUGAACCUUUGUGCCAACCAUGUCAAUACAUACCUCCUAGACACUGUUUGCGGCACUGUGACCGGGGAUGCCGUCUUGGAGCACUCAUCAACACACCUUUCUUCGGGGGCCGUUUAACAAGAACGGAAGGGCUUCUAAUCAAAUCAGAGCAGGGCAUCUAUCGAGCUGAACCUUUGUGCCAACCAUGUCAAUACAUACCUCCUAGACACUGUUUGCGGCACUGUGACUGGGGAUGCCGUCUUGGAGCACUCAUCAACACACCUUUCUUCGGGGACCGUUUAACAAGAACGGAAGGGCUUCUGAUCAAAUCAGAGCAGGGCAUCUAUCGGGCUGAACCUUUGUGCCAACCAUGUCAAUACAUACCUCCUAGACACUGUUUGCGGCACUGUGACCGGGGAUGCCGUCUUGGAGCACUCAUCAACACACCUUUCUUCGGGGACCGUUUAACAAGAACGGAAGGGCUUCUGAUCAAAUCAGAGCAGGGCAUCUAUCGGGCUGAACCUUUGUGCCAACCAUGUCAAUACAUACCUCCUAGACACUGUUUGCGGCACUGUGACCGGGGAUGCCGUCUUGGAGCACUCAUCAACACACCUUUCUUCGGAGAUCUGAGCUGCCUCUUGGACCCCACCACUUAAUACCUUUCAGGAGUCUCAAUGAAGAAACAAACUACUCUUAUGAGUGGACCCCAUUACUAUCAGUAGAUGGUCAAUACAAAACUAAGUCAAUGGAUCUACACAAGUUCUUCCUCUCAUAACGGUUCCUAUUCAGUGACUGAGGAAAAGCAAACUCUGAAGUUAAAGCUUCUACUGCUGCUACUACUGCUGCAAUCUGUUACCAUGACUCAGGUUCUUACAGCCCUAACAAAGCAAUUGGAAAUUAUUAGAGGCAAUUAAAAAUAAACAGUGGGUAAAAGCUAAGAAAGUAAAGACCAUAAGCACCAAAACUUACAUACAUUUUCUCCCAGGCAAGAAACUAGGGUCAUAAACUUCCUAGCUUCCCUCACCUUUAUAGUAAAUGUCACUCUCAUCAAAGGCUAUACCCUUUCGAAGCAAUGAAGCAAAAGAUAUUUUAUCUUACUGACAAAAGAUGAAUGACAUUUUAUACGGUAAAAUUUUAGAAAUCAAAUAGCAAAUAAUAAUGCUGAAACCAAACAUAACCUCUUUAUUGAAGAGUACUAUACUAUAAUCAUUAAAUCAAAUAUUUAAGGAAGGAUAAUUUUACAGUUAUAUUGACAAUCCAUCCCUAUCUUCACUAUGCCAAGUAUUUCCUUACCUAUAUUCAGCAAGUAAAAAUCCUUUUAUAAAAAAUAAUUUAUUUUACAUCCUGGCUGAAGUUGCCCCUCCCCCUCUUCUCCUCCCAGUCUCUUCCCCCUCAUCCCCUUCUGUUCUGACCCCUGAAUCCACUCCUCAUUUUCUGUUUAGGAAAGGACAGGUCUCCCACAACAAAACAGAAACAGCUGUAGUUGUAUUAACAAGACAAUAGUAUAUAAAAAUCUUUACUAUAAUCACUACAUAUUCUUCAAGGUACUUACUCAACAGUAAGAAACAAUAUAAAAUUCAAGUCAUCAUUUGAUGGAAUGGCUUCCAGAAGAUGAACUAUGAAGCACUAAACUUAAUAGACUAGAAACCUAUUCUGUGGCCUGCUCCAAGAGUUAUCAACACUUGUUUGCUUAAUGAUCUUGAAUUCUUUCCUUAAAAAAAAAUAAUUUGUCCUUAUAUGUAUUUAUGAGAAGUAAGGGGCUGGCAGACAUGUGGUGCUGAGAGGGUAAGCUGAAGGAGUUGGUUUACUCCUUCCACAGUGUGGUCCCAGACAUGAGGCCUGGCAGUAGGUUCCAUGUACCUGGAUGAGCCAGUAUGCCAAUCCAAGCACUAAUUCUUCAGUUUAUUAAGAAUAGGUAAGUAUGAAAGCACUAACAUAGAGCUUAUUUCUCAUUAAUUCAAUGAAAAUAUUAUGGUAUCUUCUUUGACCACUCAAGUAUAUUUAAUUUCUCUAAAGUGUUAGCAAAAUCAUAGAAAACAUGUAUGAUGAAUGAACAGUCUGUUAGGAGAACACAUGUUUGACGUACAGUGUUCUGUUUGAAAUGUUUAAUUGACAACUCUCUUCUCACUCCCCUACCUCCGUGUGUGUGUGUGUGUGGUGUGUGUGUGUGUGUGUGUGUGUAAAGCACUGCAAUCAGAAAUAAAAAGUUAUAAUCUGGAUAUUAAUGAACAAGUAAGUGAAGAAACCGUUUUAAGAAUCACUUGUACAUUCUAAUAUAUAUGUUUCUGAAACUGUUUGAGACAGGAUGUCACAUCAUAUAACACAGACUAGAAUGGAAAUCAAGAUGCUCCUUCCUUAACUUUCUAAGUACCUGGACAACGCCAUAAGACUCAUCUCAAAAACAAUCUUUAAAACAUACUAUUUUAUACUCUAAAAAGUACAAAACUGUUUCAUGUAAGAACAAAGCUGUCAUACAAUAAAUGAUUAGAUCUACACACCUAAUUAGAAUGAACAAAUACAAUUAUCAGAAUGAGAGCAGCAAUAUGAUUAAGCAUUUUUAACUCCUAAUUAAAAAUAUUCAAAUGAGUAAAGGAAAUAAAAAUUGGAGUGAUCUGCAAAACAAUAAAUUGCAAAAUAAAACACAUGAGCAAAAACAAGACUAAUACAUCCAUUAUGUACUAGAUUUUCCUACAGACAGCUGCAUUUAACCACAAUGGCUUACUAUACUUCAUUUACUAUUACUCUGUGAUAGCCCUCUAAGGCAGAAACAUGCAAAAUGGAACCAACACAGAUUCCAUAUUCAAUAUAUUGGUAGCAUUCACCUAUUUAUCCUUAUAUGAGCAAAUUCAUGAAAAAGGACUAGCAAUAUAGUUUGAGUAGCAAAGUUUCUGAUAUUUCUAUAGCUCUAUUGUGAAAUAACAUAAUAAACCUGUAUGUAACUCAAUUUUAUUUCAAUACCUCUUAAACAUAUUUCAAAUAAUAGUGAGUCUAAGCCCUUGGCAAUCUGAAAAUUUUAACUACCUCAUUAUUAAUGCUAAUUACUUACACUAAGCCAAAGAAAGAUUGGACAUCCAUGAUGAAAAAGUGGAAAAUUUUAAGAAGCUUCAAAAUAUAGGGCCAUUUUACAAAGCAUGGAUUGGUUCCCCAACCAAUAAAUAGCUCAGAUGGUACUGUUUAUAUUGCAUGUCACUAAAAGUCCAAAGACAGUCUCAGAUACCUUGCUGAAAACAAACAAACAUCAAGACCUAAGUACCUUGUGAGGAUAUCAAAUGCCUUAGAUACAGAAGGCAGAAUAUAGGAAGAAAAUGUUAUCUGCUACUUUUAAGACUGUCCCUGGAGUUUCAGAGCUCAUAACAGGAUUUACUACAAAUACAAUAUAAGUUAUAGACUUUGCGACCUAAUAAGCUAUUAUGUACAAUGGAAAUCAUUACAAGUUGAGAUUAACUCAUUCACAUAUCAACUUCUACAGUAUAAUCUGCUUCUGAUUAACAAUUACCAUAUCAAUAAAAGGUAAUAAAGUAACUAAUUUAAUAAUAACUCUCCUUCACCAGACCUUACCAAAAGAGAGGCUUUUACUAUACUGUGGUAUCUUUAGGUCACAAAAAGGCAAAAGAACAAAAUUAAUACAUUUAAAUCUCUGACACAGCUUUUAAUUGAGUAUUUUCAAUUGGAAAUACAAUCUCUUACCUUUAAAAUCAGGUUUAGCUCCUUUUCCGUCCUUGUUCAGUUUUACCUCUGAGUUGUUAGGUGUACCUUUUGAGUUCUCAAGGUAAGCUGAGCUUGCUCCUUUCUUGGAGGGAUGAGGAUCACAGAGUUUUCCA